Long non-coding RNA from Spea bombifrons (plains spadefoot toad), 1672 nucleotides. RefSeq lists it as uncharacterized. Lineage: Eukaryota; Metazoa; Chordata; Amphibia; Anura; Pelobatidae. The record is from RefSeq and is a predicted model, not a curated record. The transcript has 2 exons.
UAUGCAUUGCGUAGGGUCAUCUAGAUUCUUGGUACUGGAGAAACUUGCAGGGGUUCACCUGCAUUUAUCACUGCAAAUCACAGUUUAGUUAGUAAACCCCAUUGUUAUCAUUCUGACGUGUGCCAUCUCCUCACUUGGAUGUUAGGUGACAUAUUAACUACUGCAAAUAUAACUGGUGCAUUACUAUAUUUUUCAUUUUAUUUGACAUUUUUUCAAAACUUGAGCCUACACAAUUUUGUAAUUGUUGGCUAAUGCAUUUAUAUAUGUUAUAGGCUAGCCAAUGCAUAAAGCCAAUGGUAAGAAUGGAAAUUUACAGGUCUUAUUGUGUGAACUAAUACAGUUCCAUUACAAAGUGCCAAAGUACAAUGAAAGUAUGAAAGUAAAUCAGCUGCGUCAAAUUAUUAAUGGUUGGGAAUGUAUAUAUUCAUCCUAUUAGUACGAGUUCACAAGUACAUUGUGUAAAACAGUGCAAUGUUAAAUCUAUACAUAAAAGAGCUUUACAGAAAUUAUUUUAUCUGAUGAGCAACCAAUUGGAGUGAGAGUGCAUAAUUUGUAUUGGCAGCAUACAGCGUUCUAAAACACUGGUAUAAAGACUUGAACGUUAAUCACAAAUACUGUAUUUCUAUGAUAAGGAAGACAUCACCAAAUUCACAGGGCCAGUCAUGUGUGUAGAAUGUAUUAGGCGCUAUGUUUUGUUUUGAAGAAGCAUAUAUACAUCUCCUGUAUAAGCUGAUUAAGCUUCUGUAAGUGCCAGGCAUACUAUAAGUGCGUACAUGCAUGUGUCUGGAAAUAUAUAUAUAUAUAUAUAUAUAUAUAUAUAUAUAUAUAUAUAUAUAUAGUGUAUGUUCAUAUAUACACAUGCUGAGAAUCGCAGUGUGAUGAGCUGUUUAUAGAUGGAAUUCAAAUCUUACAAUAAUGACUCAGUGACAUUAGGUAUAGAAUACAGAUAUGAAACCUUCUUGUAGUAGGAUAUAUUUUGAAAUUCGCCCUUCAUCAGAAUUGUGUGCCACCAUUAAAAGUAACAUUGCUUUUGUUGUCCUGUUAUACGGCCAGUAUACCUCCUUCCUACUAUAGUCUUCUGGGUCCUGCGCUUUAUAGUAGCACGUUUAACCUGUCAGAGACUUCUCUUUAUUUUGCUGCUGAAUCUAGGGUAAAAGAAGAAAAUAUUUAUUUUUUAAAAAAAGGAGCAACAUGUUUUCUUGAUUUUUUUUCCAUUAAACCUAACAUUUUAAAUGAAAAACAACAUGUGCAGUGAUACCUAGGAUUAUUAAUGUAUGCAUGGGAAAUAUUGAAAUAAUGGUUUUGUGCCUGAGAAAUAACAGUGCUGCUGCAGCAAUCUAUAAAUGUGAACUCUAUACGCGUGUGUUUGUGUAUAUAUAUAUAUAUAUAUAUAGAUACACACACGCAAAUAUAUGUGUAUAUAAAUACAGUUUGUGUAGUGAAAGCAAUUAAAAAUAAUACUAUAUAUAUAUUUAAGAUUUUAUUCUAAAAUAUUUAUUAAUUAAAGAAUGCUUUAGAAUUCCAAAGUAAAACUGUUGGACUAGAUUUAUGGAGAAGUGUACAAAAUACUGUACUGCCUCUUCAAAUCUAUGUGUAAUAACUGCUUUAUUUAAAUGUCUACAAACGUGUGCUUGAUAAAUAUGCUCUUUAUAAUAAUAUGGAAUUGACAGUC